CCCGCUCAGAAACUCAAAGGAAUUGACGGGACCCGCACAAGCGGUGGAGCAUGUGGUUUAAUUCGACGAUACGCGAAGAACCUUACCUGGCCUUGACAUACUAAAAAGCUUUAAGAGAUUAGAGUGUGCUAGCUUGCUAGAAUUUAGAUACAGGUGCUGCACGGCUGUCGUCAGCUCGUGUCGUGAGAUGUUGGGUUAAGUCCCGCAACGAGCGCAACCCUCGUGUUUAGUUGCUAACAGUUCGGCUGAGAACUCUAAACAGACUGCCUACGCAAGUAGGAGGAAGGUGAGGACGACGUCAAGUCAUCAUGGCCCUUACGGCCAGGGCUACACACGUGCUACAAUGGUCGGUACAAAGGGUUGCCAAGCCGCGAGGUGGAGCUAAUCCCAUAAAACCGAUCGUAGUCCGGAUCGCAGUCUGCAACUCGACUGCGUGAAGUCGGAAUCGCUAGUAAUCGUGAAUCAGAAUGUCACGGUGAAUACGUUCCCGGGCCUU
RNAcentral lists this ribosomal RNA (496 nucleotides) under uncultured Arcobacter sp. RNAcentral's name for it is "bacterial SSU rRNA". It matches the Rfam family "Bacterial small subunit ribosomal RNA", at positions 888 to 1382 of the family's 1533-position model. The record is from RNAcentral. Lineage: Bacteria; Pseudomonadati; Campylobacterota; Epsilonproteobacteria; Campylobacterales; Arcobacteraceae.